This 72-nucleotide transfer RNA is filed under the name Ailuropoda melanoleuca (giant panda). It matches the Rfam family "tRNA". Rfam says of the family: Transfer RNA (tRNA) molecules are approximately 80 nucleotides in length. The record is from Rfam by way of RNAcentral. Lineage: Eukaryota; Metazoa; Chordata; Mammalia; Carnivora; Ursidae.
GUCUGGCUGGCUCAGUUGGUAGAGCAUGUGACUUUUGAUCUUGGGUCAUGAGUUCAAGCCCAAUGUUAGGUG